GACCGAACACACGCCUGUUGAAAUAGUCGGUGAUGACUUGUGGUUAGCGGAGAAAUUCCAAACGAAUUCGGAUAUAGCUGGUUCUCCUCGAAAUAGCUUUAGGGCUAGCCUCGCAUAUAAUCCUUGUCGGUAGAGCACUAAAUGGCCUAGGGGGCUUCACAGCCUACCGAAGCUUAUUAAACUCCGAAUGGCAAGGAAUUGAGUGCGGGAGUCAGACAGCGACAGCUAAGUGCCGUUGUCAAAAGGGAAACAGCCCAGAUCUACAGCUAAGGUCCCGAAGUACAGGUUAAGUGGAAAAGGAUGUGACAAUGCAUAGACAACCAGGAUGUUGGCUCAGAAGCAGCCACGCAUUAAAAGAGUGCGUAAUAGCUCACUGGUCGAGUGAUGUUGCGCCGAAAAUUAACGGGGCUCAAACCUGACACCGAAGCUUAGGAAUACGCGAAGCGUAUUGGUAGAGGAGCAAUGUAUACGAGCAGAAGCCGUACCGGAAGGAGCGGUGGAUUGUAUAGAAGAGAGAAUGCCGGCAUAAGUAGCGAGAGCGGAGCGAGAAACUCCGCCGUCGAAAGUCUGAGGUUUUCCGGGGAAGGUUCGUCCACCCGGAGUAAGUCGGGACCUAAGCGGAGGCCGAAAGGCGUACGUGAUGGACAACAGGUUGAUAAUCCUGUACUACCGAGAGAGUUAAUGAAGCAGUGACACGGAAAGAUAGAAGAAGCGCGCAGAUGGAAAAGCGCGUCCAAGCAGUGAGGGAGGCUUGUAGUAAAGUACGCAAGUCAUAAUCCUGGGCUGUGACGGGGAGUGGACCAAGGAAACGAAGUCUUUGAAUCUACGCCGGCGAGAAAAGCUGCUAAAUGUUUCGAGGUACCCGUACCGCAAACCGACACAGGUAGACGAGAAGAAAAUUCUAAGACGAACGGGAGAACCCUUGUUAAGGAACUCGGCAAAAUGACCCCGUAACUUCGGGAUAAGGGGUGCCUGCGAGAGCAGGCCGCAGAGAAUAGUCACAAGCGACUGUUUAGCAAAAACACAGGUAUCUGCGAAAGCGAGAGCUGACGUAUAGGUGCUGACACCUGCCCGGUGCUGGAAGGUUAAGGGAACAUGUUAGAGCAAUCGAAGCAUCGAACCGAAGCCCCAGUAAACGGCGGCCGUAACUAUAACGGUCCUAAGGUAGCGAAAUUCCUUGUCGGGUAAGUUCCGACCCGCACGAAUGGUGUAACGACUUGUGAGCUGUCUCAACAGGGGGCCCGGUGAAAUUGAAGUAUGGGUGAAGAUGCCCAUUACCCGCGACUGGACGGAGAGACCCCGUAGAGCUUUACUGCAGCCUGAUAUUGAGUUUCGGUAACUGAUGCACAGGAUAGGUGGGAGUCUGAGAGACAUGGGUUUCGGCUCAUGUGGAGACGGUGUUGGGAUACCACUCUUCGGUUACUGAAAUUCUAACAUAGCUCUGUGAAACCAGAGGAUGGACAGUGUCAGGUGGACAGUUUGACUGGGGCGGUCGCCUCCGAAAGAGUAACGGAGGCGCCCAAAGGUACCCUCAGAAUGGAUGGAAACCAUUCGAAGAGCGCAAAGGCAGAAGGGUGCCUGACUGCGAGAGUGACAACUCGAGCAGAGACGAAAGUCGGGCUUAGUGAUCCGGCGGUAUUGAGUGGAAAAGCCGUCGCUUAACGGAUAAAAGCUACCUCGGGGAUAACAGGCUGAUCUCCCCCAAGAGUCCACAUCGACGGGGAGGUUUGGCACCUCGAUGUCGGCUCAUCGCAUCCUGGGGCUGAAUUCGGUCCCAAGGGUUUGGCUGUUCGCCAAUUAAAGCGGUACGCGAGCUGGGUUCAGAACGUCGUGAGACAGUUCGGUCCCUAUCCGGCGUGGGCGUAGGAUAUUUGAGAGGAGCUGUCCUUAGUACGAGAGGACCGGGAUGGACUGACCUCUGGUGCACCAGUUGUUCUGCCAAGAGCAUGGCUGGGUAGCUAAGUCGGGAAGGGAUAAACGCUGAAAGCAUCUAAGCGUGAAGCCCCCCUCAAGAUGAGAUUUCCCAUAGCAUAAGCUAGUAAGACCCCUUGAAGAACACAAGGUUGAUAGGUCAGAGGUGGAAGUGCGGUAACGUAUGUAGCUGACUGAUACUAAUAGGUCGAGGGCUUGACCAA
This 2135-nucleotide ribosomal RNA is filed under the name human gut metagenome. RNAcentral describes it as "bacterial LSU rRNA". It matches the Rfam family "Bacterial large subunit ribosomal RNA", at positions 772 to 2925 of the family's 2925-position model. The record is from RNAcentral.